ACUCAAAGGAAUUGACGGGGGCCCGCACAAGCAGCGGAGCAUGUGGCUUAAUUCGACGCAACGCGAAGAACCUUACCAAGGCUUGACAUGCAGGGAAAUCUCCCAGAGAUGGGAGGUCCGCAAGGGUCCUGCACAGGUGGUGCAUGGUUGUCGUCAGCUCGUGUCGUGAGAUGUUGGGUUAAGUCCCGCAACGAGCGCAACCCUCGUUCUAUGUUGCCAGCGCGUUAUGGCGGGGACUCAUAGGAGACUGCCGGGGUCAACUCGGAGGAAGGUGGGGACGACGUCAAAUCAUCAUGCCCCUUAUGUCUUGGGCUGCACACAUGCUACAAUGGCCGGUACAAAGGGCUGCUAAACCGCGAGGUGGAGCGAAUCCCAAAAAGCCGGUCUCAGUUCGGAUUGGGGUCUGCAACUCGACCCCAUGAAGUCGGAGUUGCUAGUAAUCGCAGAUCAGCAACGCUGCGGUGAAUACGUUCCCGGGCCUUGUACACACCGCCCGU
This 497-nucleotide ribosomal RNA is filed under the name uncultured bacterium. RNAcentral describes it as "partial 16S ribosomal RNA". It matches the Rfam family "Bacterial small subunit ribosomal RNA", at positions 899 to 1397 of the family's 1533-position model. The record is from RNAcentral.